CUACGGGACGCACCAGUGAGGAAUAUUGCACAAUGGGGGGAACCCUGAUGCAGCAACGCCGCGUGGAGGAUGACGCAUUUCGGUGUGUAAACUCCUUUUAUAUGUCAAGAAAAUGACGGUAGCAUAUGAAUAAGCACCGGCUAACUCCGUGCCAGCAGCCGCGGUAAUACGGAGGGUGCAAGCGUUACUCGGAAUCAGUGGGCGAAAGGACGCGUAGGCGGGUUGGAAAGUCAGGUGUGAAAUCCUACAGCUUAACUGGAGAACGGCACUUGAAACUUCUAAGCUAGAGGAUGGGGGGUGGAGAUGGAAUUAGUGGUGUAGGUGUAAGAUCCGUAGAUAUCACUAGGAAUACCUAAAGCGAAGGCGAUCUCCUGGAACAUUACUGACGCUAAGGCGUGAAAGCGUGGGGAGCAAGCAGGAUUAGAUACCCGGGUAGUC
Molecule: ribosomal RNA, 438 nt
Filed under: uncultured bacterium
Lineage: Bacteria
Description: partial 16S ribosomal RNA
Rfam family: Bacterial small subunit ribosomal RNA
Source: RNAcentral